AGCAUUUGCCCUAAAACCGAACAC
RNAcentral lists this unclassified non-coding RNA (24 nucleotides) under Arabidopsis thaliana (thale cress). The record is from RNAcentral. Lineage: Eukaryota; Viridiplantae; Streptophyta; Magnoliopsida; Brassicales; Brassicaceae.